AUUGAACGCUGGCGGCAUGCCUUACACAUGCAAGUCGAACGGCAGCACGGGGCAACCUGGUGGCGAGUGGCGAACGGGUGAGUAAUGCAUCGGAACGUGCCAUUGAGUGGGGGAUAACGUAGCGAAAGUUGCGCUAAUACCGCAUAUUCUGUGAGCAGGAAAGCAGGGGACCGCAAGGCCUUGCGCUCUUUGAGCGGCCGAUGUCAGAUUAGCUAGUUGGUGAGGUAACGGCUUACCAAGGCGACGAUCUGUAGCGGGUCUGAGAGGAUGAUCCGCCACACUGGAACUGAGACACGGUCCAGACUCCUACGGGAGGCAGCAGUGGGGAGUUUUGGACAAUGGGCGCAAGCCUGAUCCAGCCAUGCCGCGUGAGUGAAGAAGGCC
RNAcentral lists this ribosomal RNA (384 nucleotides) under uncultured bacterium. RNAcentral describes it as "bacterial SSU rRNA". It matches the Rfam family "Bacterial small subunit ribosomal RNA", at positions 30 to 416 of the family's 1533-position model. The record is from RNAcentral.